AUAGCGAACAAGUACCGUGAGGGAAGAUGAAAAGAACUUUGAAAAGAGAGUUAAACAGUACGUGAAAUUGUUGAAAGGGAAACGAUUGAAGUCAGUCAUACCAACGGGAAAUCAACCUUUUGAGCUUGGUCUCGUGGGUUUUGAAGAGUUUCAAAGCCUUCGGAUUCGCGAGAUUGGGAUCUCUUGGUGUACUUUUUCGUACGGUUAGUCAACAUCGGUUUUGAAUGUCAUAAAAUGACUGGAGGAAUGUAGCUUCGA
RNAcentral lists this ribosomal RNA (258 nucleotides) under uncultured Glomeromycotina. RNAcentral's name for it is "partial large subunit ribosomal RNA". It matches the Rfam family "Eukaryotic large subunit ribosomal RNA", at positions 337 to 620 of the family's 3401-position model. The record is from RNAcentral. Lineage: Eukaryota; Fungi; Glomeromycota.